UCCUAAGAAAACAAACGCAGUCCUGAUAGGGAUGCGAGCUGAGAGGGACGACUAUAUUCUUUAGGGCAGAGAGCUGGCAGAAUGACUGUGAUCAUUAUGGGGUUAUGAUGAAGCUGCUUGUCCUGAGGACAUAAUGCCAGUUAAGUAAAAUCUUUGAAGUCUUUUAAAACUUCUCAAAACAAAAUCA
Molecule: long non-coding RNA, 187 nt
Organism: Sander lucioperca (pikeperch)
Lineage: Eukaryota; Metazoa; Chordata; Actinopteri; Perciformes; Percidae
Exons: 2
Source: RefSeq, a predicted model, not a curated record